RNAcentral lists this ribosomal RNA (453 nucleotides) under uncultured bacterium. Its description in RNAcentral is "bacterial SSU rRNA". It matches the Rfam family "Bacterial small subunit ribosomal RNA", at positions 29 to 525 of the family's 1533-position model. The record is from RNAcentral.
GUGAACGCUAGCGGUGCGCCUAACACAUGCAAGUCGCGCGAGGCUUCGAGCCGAGCGGCGAACGGCUGCGUAACACGUUGGAACCUACCCCAGACUCAGGGAUAAUCCGCCGAAAGGUGGACUAAUACCGGAUGCCCUCGCAAGAGGAAAGCUACGGCGGUCUGGGAGGGGCCUGCGGCCUAUCAGUUAGUUGGUAAGGUAACGGCUUACCAAGACGAUGACGGGUAGCUGAUCUGAGAGGAUGAUCAGCCAGAAUGGAACUGAGACACGGUCCAUACUCCUACGGGAGGCAGCAGUGAGGAAUCUUCCGCAAUGGGCGCAAGCCUGACGGAGCGACACCGCGUGAAGGAUGAAGACAUUUUUUGUUGUAAACUUCUGUUCUGAGGGAAGAAAUUUUUGACUGUACCUCAGGAGAAAGCACCGGCAAAUCUCGUGCCAGCAGCCGCGGUAAUU